GCCCUGGUGGUGUAGUCUGGCUCAGCACUAAGCCAAUAAGAUGGCUUUUGUUGCAGCAGCUAUCAUGAAGCCCUGUCGAGGCUUCGACCCGGGUUCGAAUACUUUCGGACUGGUUUGAAAGGAACAAGACGAAGUCGACUUUCCCGGCCAGGGCG
This 155-nucleotide transfer RNA is filed under the name Candidatus Woesearchaeota archaeon. RNAcentral describes it as "tRNA-Asp". Lineage: Archaea; Nanobdellati; Candidatus Woesearchaeota. The record is from RNAcentral.